UGUGCAUCUCGUCUAGGCGCCA
This 22-nucleotide microRNA is filed under the name Melibe leonina. Its description in RNAcentral is "mle-miR-242-3p". Its record names the gene mle-miR-242-3p. The record is from miRBase by way of RNAcentral. Lineage: Eukaryota; Metazoa; Mollusca; Gastropoda; Nudibranchia; Dendronotidae.